CACUACGGCCAUGCUACCCUGAACAAGCCCAAUCCUGUCUCAUCUCAGAAGCUAAGCAGGGUCGGGCCUGGUUAGUACCUGGAUGGGAGACCAACUAGGAAAACCAGAUGCUAUAGGCG
Molecule: ribosomal RNA, 119 nt
Filed under: Pteropus alecto (black flying fox)
Lineage: Eukaryota; Metazoa; Chordata; Mammalia; Chiroptera; Pteropodidae
Source: RNAcentral